Long non-coding RNA from Gossypium raimondii (Peruvian cotton), 865 nucleotides. RefSeq lists it as uncharacterized. The record is from RefSeq and is a predicted model, not a curated record. The transcript has 3 exons. NCBI's taxonomy places the organism in Eukaryota, Viridiplantae, Streptophyta, Magnoliopsida, Malvales, Malvaceae.
CCUCCUCUUCUUCUUCUUCUUCUUAAUCAUAAGAGAGAUUAUUGUAUUGGUAAUGGCUUGUUUUGAAAAUCAUAAGCAAAAUAGACCCGGAAAAUCACUCAAACAUCCCCUUCCUGCACAUUCAAAACUUGAUAUUCCUUUAAAUCAUGACAUCCCAGAAAAUUCCUUUUUCGUUUGAGUGUUGAAGAAGAAGGAGAAGAAGAAGGGAGAAUUAAAUAUUUGAAAUCAUUCCAUUCAAAGAAGUUGAAGCAAAAAUAUCACGAAUGCAGACCAAGCUAUGGCUUAGUUUAUUAUAGUAAUAAUGUCAGUUUAUGAUUCUUUCAUUCAUUUUUAGAUUGUUUGAUGAGGUUUGGUGAUUGAAUAAUGUGGUGAGCUUGAAUCAUACAGACUAUAAUACUCGGAUUAGGAUGAUUUUGAUAACCAUUGGUAUAUCAGUAGCUCUUUCUUUAUAUAUAUGUGUAUAUAUAUUAUUCGUAUAUGGACUAAUUUGUCCAUUUUUUGAGUAAAGAGACCCAAAUAUAAUCUGACUCCUUUGUUCAAGGACCUGCAUAAUACUUUCUUUGCCUAUAUAUGUUACUUGGACCAGGGCAAUUUUGAUAGCCUUUGGCUCCAUUGGCAUAUCAGUUGGUCUCUUUGCAUAUAUGCAGAACAGUUAUCAAUUGAAUAUUUUAAAGCUCUUCAUCAGUUACCGAUAUCAAAAUCGGAUCGUAAUGGAAUUCCGGGGUAUGCAUCGAUCUAUCAUGCAGCACAUUGUGACAAAAAUUCUAUGCUCUAAACAAAGACAACCAGAAUAUGCAUAGUUCACACACUGCAACAAGAACUUGAUGGUAUCAGUUCAGAAGUUUCCGGUACUCAGAUUCAUUUG